CCCUCUUCCUCUACCGGAGGGUUUGGUAUACAGUUUUGUUCCUUUCAUAUCGCCGCCAAGGCAAAGUACUAUACCUAAUCUUC
This 83-nucleotide small RNA is filed under the name Arabidopsis thaliana (thale cress). RNAcentral's name for it is "ATSL241030". Lineage: Eukaryota; Viridiplantae; Streptophyta; Magnoliopsida; Brassicales; Brassicaceae. The record is from RNAcentral.